RNAcentral lists this unclassified non-coding RNA (190 nucleotides) under Glomeromycetes sp. Its description in RNAcentral is "partial contains 5.8S ribosomal RNA and internal transcribed spacer 2". The stretch from base 1 to 71 matches the Rfam family "5.8S ribosomal RNA", at positions 84 to 154 of the family's 154-position model. The record is from RNAcentral. Lineage: Eukaryota; Fungi; Glomeromycota; Glomeromycetes.
GUGAAUCAUCAAAUUUUUGAACGCAAAUUGCACUCCCUGGUAUUCCGGAGAGCAUGCCUGUUUGAGGGUCAGCUAAAAUCAAACACGGUGUGGUUGCUGCCUUUCGUGGUGACGUACCGGAUUUGGGUCGUUUCGCCUUUGGUUAAGUCUCCUUAAAUUUUGCAUGACAUUUUCGAACGUAAUUAAAUGA